UUAAAUUCAAGGCCACAGAUCUCAGAUGGACUUUCACCAAGGCCUGGUAAUCCUACUGUAUAGGACAUUCAAUUCUCCACUUUAUCCCAAAUCAUAAAGCAAGAACCUUAGAAACCCACAGAAAUCUUUGGUAGACAAUCAAAUACUAAAAUAAAAACAAAUUUACAGGUAGAAGCGAGCCCAGCGUGGCUUAAAAAAAAAAACUCUGCUUUAGAUGAAGGCUAUGCAUAAGGAGAGGAACAUCUAAAGGCCAGUCAAAAGUCUUCACUGGAGCUUGAAAAUCCACAGCUCUGAGCCUCCACGCACCGUCAUUUGAAACCAGAUGUCAAGCCCUCCUUUCUUUUCAGAUAUUCAUCUUAUCAACAGAAACUAAGGAUGUUACACGGACUGAAGAAGGAAGGCAGGAAGAAGCUAGAAGCAAGAAUUAACAUGUCUUUGCAUGAUCUGAAAGCCUCUUUGGACCAAAGAUAAUACAUGCUGAGG
This is a non-coding RNA of Odocoileus virginianus texanus, 483 nucleotides long. The record is from RefSeq and is a predicted model, not a curated record. Lineage: Eukaryota; Metazoa; Chordata; Mammalia; Artiodactyla; Cervidae.